This is a long non-coding RNA of Nerophis ophidion (straightnose pipefish), 1902 nucleotides long. RefSeq lists it as uncharacterized. The transcript is spliced from 2 exons. Lineage: Eukaryota; Metazoa; Chordata; Actinopteri; Syngnathiformes; Syngnathidae. The record is from RefSeq and is a predicted model, not a curated record.
AUCAGCGUGGAUGUUUAAAUCAUGGGGAUGGGGACGAUUUUACUGAGGAGGUCUGAAAAUUGAGUUGUAACAUUCUUGCUCUCAGUUAGGGUUGGGCAUCGUUUGAAUUGGAACGAUUCCGAUUCCUGACGAUUCUCGAUUCCGAUUCUUCUUGUACCAUGCCGGGAUCAAUGUGUUUGCCAGGUAGUCCCUGGAAGGUGGUAUGUAUUUUGGGUUGAGAGUUUUCACCAUAUCCCUGCAAACAUAAACAAACAUGUAAUGUUGCUGUUACUGUUUAGCCCAGUAUCAAUUAGCUUAGCUUUAAUGUUAUUGCUUAACUAACCUAAAUGUUGGAGAUUCCACCUCUGAAAAGGGAUGCAGUCUUUUGACUAUGUGUGCAGUGACCUUUCUGUGGCACUCUUCCGUCUGUGGCACCGACAUCUUCCCCAUUGCCGCUAGGGUGAACGGAGUACGCUGAGCACAUCGCAGAGCCUGGCUAGCAGGUUCUAAAUUGUCUAUGAAAAAAAUAUGCGGGCUAAUUUGUUAGCUGCCUCAACGUUGGCGCAAAACACAGUAUUUAUUGCAUAUAUAUUGUUUUACUUACCGGAUUCGGACUGCAGUGCAGUCACCGAGGUACCAGGCUGGGCGUCGGAGCCGGAGCCAGAGGAAGAGGCAGAGGAGGACGGUCAGCGCAGCGCGUCGAAGACGGGACACGCAUUUAUUUGUACUCCAUGAACUCGGAGGUGCUUCAUCAUGUUCGACGUGCACCCUCCUAAGCAGGAAACAGUCCUGUCGCACGUGUUACAUUUCGCCGAUAUUUCAAUUUUUUUUAGUAAAAUAAAGCCACACUUUUGGCCGCCGACGCCCGCUAUCCAUGCUUGACUGACUCGCUCGGCUACAUACAGUAGGCUCGGCUAUGCUAACACUUCCGGCGGUGGGCGCUUCUUCGUUGGUGUUCAGCGGCCUCUUCUUCCGGUCGGCGGACUGGGUAUUGAAACUAGGAAUCGAAAUUUAAACUUUUGAACGAUUCUGGGAGAAUCGGAAAGUUAGUCCCGGUUCCAAUCGAUACUCGAUACCCAACCCUACUCUCCGUUGGGUGGUAGAUGGUCAGAACCAGAUGGGGGCCAGACAAGCCCAUUUUCACCAGUAGAGCUUCAAAACUGGAGUGUGUGAGGCAUCUUAACACAGAACAGCUGUAGUUGUCCUUGUACACGAAGGCCACGGCCCCUCCAGUCUUUGUGUCUUGGGUUGCCGUGGUAACUCCAACCAGGUGGGCACAGUUCAUUGAGAGAGGAAUAAUCCCUGGAGAUUUGCCAUGAUUCCGUGAUUGCGAAGAAUUCCAGUUGUUUGGAAAUAAACUCACACAGGAUGGAUGUUUUCUCCUUCACAUAACUGGCAUUGAGCAGACAGACUUUCACGGUGACUUCACUCGCCGACGAAGACGGUUCUCCUGCUGGUAGGUUCUCCACAGAGGAAUGCUGUAGUUCUGACGGAUUGAACAUCGGAUUCCUGGUCACCUCCCUGACUAGACUAAGAUGAAUGCAGCAAUGUACAGAGACAUACUGGAUGAAAACCAACACUUCCCAUUCUAUCUGAAUAUGUACCUAAUAAAAGUGUCUUUAAAUAGAUGAACUGAUCCUUACCAGGCUCCGUAGUGUCGUCCUCUCCAACGGGUAUGAUGAAAGUGCCCCCAAAUCGAUGAGCUUGACGAUCAAUGUGCUCAAUGUAUUGAUUCAACUCUUGCUCCUCAUCCGUUUUUCCUUUUGACUGAGACCUGGCAGCAAGAGCAUUCUCUUCCUCGGAUGGAACUGCAGCAGAGUCCUCGGUUGGGAGUUUGGUCCCUUCCUCUUCUUCCAUGUUGUCCUCACCCUCUGACGGCGUAGUAGCAUCCUCGUUAGACGGUGUUGCGGCGUCCUCUUCAGU